GAAAUGCGAUAAGUAAUGUGAAUUGCAGAAUUCAGUGAAUCAUCGAAUCUUUGAACGCACCUUGCGCUCCUUGGUAUUCCUUGGAGCAUGCCUGUUUGAGUAUCAUGAAAUCUUCAAAGUAAAUCUUUUGUUAACUCAAUUGGCUUCUACUUUGGUAUUGGAGGUCUUUGCAGCUUCACACCUGCUCCUCUUUGUUCAUUAGCUGGAUCUCAGUGUUAUGCUUGGUUCCACUCGGCGUGAUAAGUUAUCUAUCGCUGAGGACACUGUAAAAGGUGGCCAAGGUAAAUGCAGAUGAACUGCUUCUAAUAGUCCAUUGACUUGGACAAUACUUUUAUGAUCUGAUCUCAAAUCAGGUAGGACUACCCGCUGAACUUAAGC
RNAcentral lists this unclassified non-coding RNA (378 nucleotides) under plant metagenome. RNAcentral's name for it is "partial contains 5.8S ribosomal RNA, internal transcribed spacer 2, and large subunit ribosomal RNA". The stretch from base 1 to 105 matches the Rfam family "5.8S ribosomal RNA", at positions 50 to 154 of the family's 154-position model. The record is from RNAcentral.